This 3037-nucleotide long non-coding RNA is filed under the name Homo sapiens (human). Its description in RNAcentral is "HSALNT0243742". The stretch from base 1394 to 1510 matches the Rfam family "Metazoan signal recognition particle RNA". The record is from RNAcentral. Lineage: Eukaryota; Metazoa; Chordata; Mammalia; Primates; Hominidae.
GAUGGCGCCUAGGAGGGCGUUCACCACCACCUGGGGGCCAGGGGGUCCAUUGCCAGUGCCUCUCCCAGCCUCUGAGAGAGGGCUCCACAUCUCUACGCCACCCAGGGGACCAGGCAGAGCUGGGCAUUGUCAAUUAGGGAGGGCUUCCUAGAGGAGGGCCGACCUGCUGGGCUGUGUGUGUGCAGGUUGGGGGUGGUAAGGGGGAGGGGGAGGGAGCUGCAGGCCUGGUGGUCAAGAGGGCUCUCUGCUUGACUGGAGCCAUCAGCCCAGAGUAGGGGUGCUGGGUUUCUCUGGAAGCAGCCUGGUCACAGGUCACCAGGCAGGAGACAAACACUCUUUGCUCAGCCCCCAUAGGAAACUCAGCUCACGUGACCCAGCCCCUGCUCAUGGGUUUUCAGCCCCAGAGCCCCAGACACAGGCACAGAAAAGAGGGCACCAGGGUCUUUGAAGCAGCAGGAGCUCUGGGACAGAAGCCCCAUCCCCACCAGCCCUAGUCACACAGCCCACCUGACCACUGCAGACUGGGCUGGAUCUGACACCCCUCUCUUUUUAAGGAGGAGCCAUUUCAUGACCUCUAGAGUGGGUGGCACAAGCCUGGUGUGCCCAGGGGAGCUCUGUUCCUGGUUGGGGCACUGACCAGCUGCAUGGCCACAGGCAGCUUGUUUCCCCUCAACGGGAGGGCUCCCUGGCUCUGGGGGGUCAGAGGGCCCAGCAUUCGGCUGGCCUCUUGCAGGGACAGGAAGGGGCCGCUUGGGGGGGCUCGCCAUGGCCUCUAGAUUUGCAGAAAUUUGUCCCGCUGGAGCAGGUCUUGCUCCCAGCAGAUCUCUCUUCCUGGGGAAGUCCCAUUUUUCUUGCCCCCCCCCCCACCCCGCCGCAACCCUGUGUUUACCUGCCACUUCCGCUCUCCAGGGCCUGAGUGGAUCUUCCCCAAACUGACCCCAAGCUCAAGGGCAUGGCCCCAACCGUGACGCCAAGCUCAUCAGUGGGGGGUGAGGGGAAGGCUCAGAGCCAGGGUGCAGGCACCUUGUUUCAAAGCCCUGGGUGGCUCAGUCUGAGGCUGGGGAGGGCCACCCAUAAACCCACUCAUAAACCACCCAUAAACACCACAUAAACCUGCCUUCCUUCCUCCUCUUCCCUGGCCGUGGGGCCCUCCUGGGUGCUUCUGCAGUCUCUGCUCCCCUCAAGUAGUGGCAGAGAUCCCCUCCCUAGUGGGUGGUCCUGUCCGGUGGGAAGAGCAGCCCUGGGACCUGUCCCAGUACCUGUAGGAGCCUGGCACCACCUCAGUGAUGUCAUCAACCAACUGGGGAUGACUGUGAGUAGGAGGGAUGGUACCCGACUCCUUCGGGGAGGCCUGUGAGCCCAUCUAAGAGGCUAAGAAAAUCCUCCAUUCCUGGCCGGGCAUGGUGGCUCACACCUGUAAUCCCAGCACUUUGGGAGGCCAAGGUAGGAGGAUUGCUUGAGCCCAGGAGUUCAAGACCAGCCUGGGCAACAUAGCAAGAUCCCAUCUUAAAAAUAAAUAAAUAAAAUGUAUGAAGUAAGAAACUCCUCCACUCCUAUUGGCAGGGAUGGUAAGUAGCCCUCCUGCCUGCUGUCUUCCCCCAAGGCCUCCUUUCCCUGAGGAGAAGGGAAGGCCUCCCAGUCCCUAACCCCUCCCUGGGCAGCUCUGUCUGAGAAGGGCAGCACUGAUUGAGGGUCUGACUCUGGGGGUGGCCUCGGGCAGGUCCUGCCCUUCAGGGCGUGGGCUUCCUGAGGUCCCCGCCACACUGACAGCCUCUGGAUGUAGCUACGGGGCCAGCGUGGGGGGACUCACAUCCACGAUGAGGAAGUCGAGCCAGCACCAGGCGUUGGUGAAGUACACCUUAAAGCCGUAGGCCACCCAUUUGAGCAGCAUCUCCAUGAUGAAGAUGUAGGUGAAGACCUUGUCGGCAUAUUCUAGGAUGGUGCGAAUGACUCGCCGCUGCUCAAUGUAGAUGUCCUCGAAGGCCUGGGGGCACCAGCACCACCAGGGUGGCUGGGGUCCAGCAGGCUGGGGUGGCAGCCAGGUCCCCUGCCCUGCUCUAUGCUGCUGGUUCCCGGGGGUCUGCCGUGGGGGCCCAGCCCAAGGGACAGGCUGUCCGCAUCUCCUGGACUCCCACCACCCAUCAUGGGGAUGAGAGCGUUUCCCAGUGGGGAGAAUCCCUCAGCCCCCCUUCUCCAAGCCCAACAACAGCAAAUUGCCAUCAUCUGCUGGGCAGGUCCACAGUGACACAUCUUCAGUCCUGCGCCCCCAGUUCCCAGGGGUCUCCUGCCUCCUUAUCAGCAGAGAGUGCACAAAAGUCAGCACCCACGUAAUAAGGGAGGCACCUCUGCCAUGUUAGAAAGUCAGCACAUCCUAUAACCUAUCCCGGAGGCACAGCGAGUUCCUUUAGGAUUCUCAGGGUUUGGGACUGACCAGAGCAUGGCCCUUCCUGUGUGUGGAGACAGGGAGCCCCAAGAGGACCUGCUGUGGGCCUGGCCCCUGCCCCUGACCCGUGCUCCCAGGCAGUGCCUACCAGAGCCCCACUGCUGAGCAGGAUCAUGAAGACAAUGAAGGUCUCGAACCAGUUGUGCUCGACAAUCUUGAAGCAGGCCCUGCGCAGAGUCCACCACUUCUUCCCACGGCCCUGGGAGAUGUCCACGUAGAGGCAGGGCCAGCGCUGCACGCAGGCUGAUGGGGUGAGGGGGGACAGGGACAGGCACCACAUCAUGGGCCUGGGGUUGCCUUGGGGUGCACAGUCAGCGCCCUCCCAUGGCAUCCCAGGAUGCCCCUCUCCAGCUCCCAGACCCAGGGCCCCCACCUCCUCCCUCACCCAGCUCCAUCUGGCUCACAUGGGGGACUCAGGACCUCCCUUCACAGCUGGAUCCAACAUGCGUCAAUGGCUGCUGGGGAUGGGCAUGCAGAGGAAAGGCCUCCUGGCCCCCAGCCCCAGUGCUGCCCCACCCCCCACCUCGCCCAGGCGGUCUCCAUCCUGCACAGCCCAGCAAGCUCUAUGGACAAGGACAUUUCUCCAGUGCCAUG